CGCUCUCAGGGGGAACCGCCCGCGCUCCGCGUGGACGGGCGGUGGGCCUGGCUUUGGGGGGUGGAACCUACGUCGCUUUCCCUUCACAUCUUGCCCUCUCGGAGCUUGACGGUGCUCCGGAGAGUCAACACAGGGGGAUAGAGCAGCUCUCCCUCACUAAAACCCAGUGCGGAGCCCUCCCCUCCACGCUGCAUCCUGUCGUGAGGCACAAAUGGUCCGUCCCUCCAUUCCCCCCCGGCGGUCCCCUGGCAACCUGGCUGAUUCUCUCCCUCCGCAGAGUGUCCCGAGGGACCGGCGAGCCCUUCAGAUGCUCCCGAUGGGCCCGAGGCCAAGCGCGGCAGGCCUGGGCAAGGGGAAGCGCUGGCGACUUGCACUCCCGCCUUUGGACGCCUAUGGGUGAGGGGCACACCGAGCUCAUCACUCCUCUUACAGCCUGGGGCUGAGGCCUCACGUAGCAACCUCAUGCUUGAAAUGUUUUAGACAUGAGUAAUCACACCUAAAUGUGAAGCAAUGCUGUGGACUUGGGAAUAAAUAAUGCCAUAUACUGGAAGGAAUGAAGGCAACAUCAGGAAGUGACAUUCAACAUCAGUAUGAUUUCCUGAGUGGGUGAUUUCUGACUUCACACAAGAUGAUUCCAGUUGUCACCUCUAAGAUUGUCUUGGAAGUAGAAUUGAGACAAGUAAUGGCAGAAAUUGUGUCUUGUAUGAGCAUGUUGAAACAGGCACCUCACAAUUUGUUGAAACAGGUUUCCUAACAAAAACUGCUGUAAUUUGACUGUGGGUUAAUUGAAAUAAAUUAUGACUAUUAAUUGAAAUAAAAUACGAGUAUUCUACCAAAA
Long non-coding RNA from Hirundo rustica (Barn swallow), 838 nucleotides. RefSeq lists it as uncharacterized. The record is from RefSeq and is a predicted model, not a curated record. NCBI's taxonomy places the organism in Eukaryota, Metazoa, Chordata, Aves, Passeriformes, Hirundinidae. The transcript is spliced from 3 exons.